AGCGAACGCUGGCGGCAGGCUUAACACAUGCAAGUCGAGCGGGCCCUUCGGGGUCAGCGGCAGACGGGUGAGUAACACGUGGGAACGUGCCCUUCGGUUCGGAAUAACUCAGGGAAACUUGAGCUAAUACCGGAUACGCCCUUUUGGGGAAAGGCUUGCUGCCGAAGGAUCGGCCCGCGUCUGAUUAGCUAGUUGGUGGGGUAACGGCCUACCAAGGCGACGAUCAGUAGCUGGUCUGAGAGGAUGAUCAGCCACACUGGGACUGAGACACGGCCCAGACUCCUACGGGAGGCAGCAGUGGGGAAUAUUGGACAAUGGGCGCAAGCCUGAUCCAGCCAUGCCGCGUGAGUGAUGAAGGCCUUAGGGUUGUAAAGCUCUUUUGUCCGGGACGAUAAUGACGGUACCGGAAGAAUAAGCCCCGGCUAACUUCGUGCCAGCAGCCGCCGUAA
RNAcentral lists this ribosomal RNA (449 nucleotides) under uncultured bacterium. RNAcentral describes it as "partial 16S ribosomal RNA". It matches the Rfam family "Bacterial small subunit ribosomal RNA", at positions 29 to 523 of the family's 1533-position model. The record is from RNAcentral.